UGGGGAAUUGUUCGCAAUGGGCGCAAGCCUGACGACGCAACGCCGCGUGAAGGAUGAAGUAUUUCGGUAUGUAAACUUCGAAAGAAUAGGAAGAAUAAAUGACGGUACUAUUUGUAAGGUCCGGCUAACUACGUGCCAGCAGCCGCGGUAAUACGUAGGGACCAAGCGUUGUUCGGAUUUACUGGGCGUAAAGGGCGCGUAGGCGGUGUGUCAAGUCAGUUGUGAAAUCUCCGAGCUUAACUCGGAACGGUCAACUGAUACUGUCACACUAGAGUACAGAAGGGGCAAUCGGAAUUCUUGGUGUAGCGGUGAAAUGCGUAGAUAUCAAGAGGAACACCUGAGGCGAAGGCGGGUUGCUGGACUGAUACUGACGCUGAGGCGCGAAAGCUAGGGUAGCAAACGGGAUUAGAUACCCCCGUAGUCCCUGAGCGGGCUGGCAAGGCGCAU
RNAcentral lists this ribosomal RNA (447 nucleotides) under uncultured bacterium. Its description in RNAcentral is "bacterial SSU rRNA". It matches the Rfam family "Bacterial small subunit ribosomal RNA", at positions 355 to 825 of the family's 1533-position model. The record is from RNAcentral.